UACGGGAGGCAGCAGUGGGGAAUAUUGCACAAUGGGCGCAAGCCUGAUGCAGCCAUGCCGCGUGUAUGAAGAAGGCCUUCGGGUUGUAAAGUACUUUCAGUCGUGAAGGAAGGUGUUAAGGUUAAUAACCUUAGCAAUUGACGUUAGCGACAGAAGAAGCACCGGCUAACUCCGUGCCAGCAGCCGCGGUAAUACGGAGGGUGCGAGCGUUAAUCGGAAUUACUGGGCGUAAAGGGCACGCAGGCGGUUAAUUAAGUUGGAUGUGAAAUCCCCGGGCUUAACCUGGGAAUGGCAUUCAAGACUGGUUAGCUAGAGUCUUGUAGAGGGGGUAGAAUUCCAUGUGUAGCGGUGAAAUGCGUAGAGAUGUGGAGGAAUACCGGUGGCGAAGGCGGCCCCUGGACAAAGACUGACGCUCAUGUGCGAAAGCGUGGGGAGCAAACAGGGAUUAGAUACC
This 454-nucleotide ribosomal RNA is filed under the name uncultured bacterium. RNAcentral's name for it is "bacterial SSU rRNA". It matches the Rfam family "Bacterial small subunit ribosomal RNA", at positions 340 to 786 of the family's 1533-position model. The record is from RNAcentral.